UUUUUUAUGUCUUAGAUGUAUGUAAAAUAGCCUUUGGGUUCAUAAGGCAUCGUUGAGUGGCAAGGAACAGGGAGCGUGACGUGUACUAGUAGUUGUGCGCACGUCUUGCUACUACGGAGCAGAGAACCGUGGCGAGACCAACUCUCAAGACGACGUUGUCCUCAUUCAUCAGAUGCACGCCAUCCCUACCGUACAAAUGCAUGCGAUAAAUUGCACAGGUGCAGUAUGUAUUUCCUGUCACCUCAUGCCACCGGCCCAGAGACACUACUUUGCGCUUUUGGAAAUCCAAGACCCUGUCUGCCUCUUGCUGUGGGUCAUCAGGCUCAUGAAGAUAGUGUGAGAGAUCACAUGGUGUUCUUCAUGGAUAGUAAUAAAGGCAUGGUGGGGUAAGCAGAACCAAGGGAUGGGUACACCUGCCUGUUCUCUCUUUUUUUGCUAUCGGAAGAAGACCACUACUCACCGCCGAUGCUCCUCCUUCAUUCUACCUUUCUAUUGUCUGUUUCUGUUCAGUGUUCACUAUUAAUAAGAAAAGUUUUCUCAAUUUAAUAUUUUAAUUGCACACCUAAUAAAACAUAGUCGAGCAUUGAACAUUCA
Molecule: long non-coding RNA, 594 nt
Organism: Oncorhynchus nerka (sockeye salmon)
Lineage: Eukaryota; Metazoa; Chordata; Actinopteri; Salmoniformes; Salmonidae
Exons: 3
Source: RefSeq, a predicted model, not a curated record